CCUACGGGAGGCAGCAGUGAGGAAUAUUGGUCAAUGGGCGCGAGCCUGAACCAGCCAAGUAGCGUGAAGGAUGACUGCCCUACGGGUUGUAAACUUCUUUUAUAAAGGAAUAAAGUGAGGCACGUGUGCCUUUUUGUAUGUACUUUAUGAAUAAGGAUCGGCUAACUCCGUGCCCACAGCCGCGGGAAUACGGAGGAUUCGAGCGGUAUACCGAUUUGUUUGGUUUAAAGGGAGCGUAGAUGGGUUGGUAAGUCAGUUGUGAAAGUUUGCGGCUUAACCGUAAAAUUGCAAUUGAUACUGGCAGUCUUGAGUACAGUAGAGGUAGGCGGAAUGCGUGGUGUAGCGGUGAAAUGCUUAGAUAUCACGAAGAACUCCGAUUGCGAAGGCAGCUUACUAACCUGCCACUGACAUUGAUGCUCGAAAGUGUGGGUAUCAAACAGGAUUAGAUACCCCAGUAGUC
RNAcentral lists this ribosomal RNA (460 nucleotides) under uncultured bacterium. Its description in RNAcentral is "partial 16S ribosomal RNA". It matches the Rfam family "Bacterial small subunit ribosomal RNA", at positions 338 to 795 of the family's 1533-position model. The record is from RNAcentral.